This 250-nucleotide ribosomal RNA is filed under the name uncultured Prevotellaceae bacterium. Its description in RNAcentral is "partial 16S ribosomal RNA". It matches the Rfam family "Bacterial small subunit ribosomal RNA", at positions 89 to 339 of the family's 1533-position model. Lineage: Bacteria; Pseudomonadati; Bacteroidota; Bacteroidia; Bacteroidales; Prevotellaceae. The record is from RNAcentral.
CGGCGACCGGCGCACGGGUGCGUAACGCGUAUCAAACCUGCCUCAUACUCGGGGAUAGCCUUGCGAAAGUAAGAUUAAUACCCGAUGUUGUUGCUUUCUCGCAUGGGAGAGUAACCAAAGAUUUAUCGGUAUGAGAUGGUGAUGCGUCCGAUUAGGUAGUAGGCGGGGUAACGGCCCACCUAGCCUUCGAUCGGUAGGGGUUCUGAGAGGAAGGUCCCCCACACUGGAACUGAGACACGGUCCAGACUCC